This 876-nucleotide ribosomal RNA is filed under the name Aspergillus quitensis. Its description in RNAcentral is "LSU rRNA". It matches the Rfam family "Eukaryotic large subunit ribosomal RNA", at positions 37 to 930 of the family's 3401-position model. The record is from RNAcentral. Lineage: Eukaryota; Fungi; Ascomycota; Eurotiomycetes; Eurotiales; Aspergillaceae.
AGCAUAUCAAUAAGCGGAGGAAAAGAAACCACCCGGGAUUGCCCCCGUAACGGCGAGUGAAGCGGCAGAGCUCAAAUUUGAAAUCUGGCCCCUCGGGGGUCGAGUUGUAAUUUGCAGAGGAUGCUUCGGGUGCGGCCCCCGUCUAAGUGCCCUGGAACGGGCCGUCAGAGAGGGUGAGAAUCCCGUCCUGGGCGGGGUGUCCGUGCCCGUGUGAAGCUCCUUCGACGAGUCGAGUUGUUUGGGAAUGCAGCUCUAAAUGGGUGGUAAAUUUCAUCUAAAGCUAAAUACUGGCCGGAGACCGAUAGCGCACAAGUAGAGUGAUCGAAAGAUGAAAAGCACUUUGAAAAGAGAGUUAAACAGCACGUGAAAUUGUUGAAAGGGAAGCGCUUGCGACCAGACUCGCCCGCGGGGUUCAGCCGGCACUCGUGCCCGGUGUACUUCCCCGUGGGCGGGCCAGCGUCGGUUUGGGCGGCCGGUCAAAGGCCUCCGGAAUGUAUCGCCCUCCGGGGCGUCUUAUAGCCGGGGGUGCAAUGCGGUCAGCCCGGACCGAGGAACGCGCUUCGGCACGGACGCUGGCGUAAUGGUCGCAAACGACCCGUCUUGAAACACGGACCAAGGAGUCUAACAUCUACGCGAGUGUUCGGGUGUCAAACCCGUACGCGCAGUGAAAGCGAACGGAGGUGGGAGCCCCCCCGUGGGGCGCACCAUCGACCGAUCCUGAUGUCUUCGGAUGGAUUUGAGUACGAGCGUAGCUGUGGGGACCCGAAAGAUGGUGAACUAUGCCUGAAUAGGGCGAAGCCAGAGGAAACUCUGGUGGAGGCUCGCAGCGGUUCUGACGUGCAAAUCGAUCGUCGAAUUUGGGUAUAGGGCGAAAGA